RNAcentral lists this long non-coding RNA (341 nucleotides) under Malus domestica (apple). RNAcentral's name for it is "long non-coding RNA (MDOM_LNC000397)". Lineage: Eukaryota; Viridiplantae; Streptophyta; Magnoliopsida; Rosales; Rosaceae. The record is from RNAcentral.
AAUACAAUACUCUUAAUCACAUUGUUUAAGUGAUAGUUUGUUUCAUGUCUACUAUCCAAUGUGAUAUUUUCCUAUAUGAUUCCCUUGAAUAUGAUUUGGAAUAAACUUUCUAAGUCAUAUUCAUUUUCUUUGGCCAAAGACUUUAGAAUCAUAUCUUAGAGUAUUCUCCCUCCAUCAUGGAAGGUUAGAGAUCCCUUGUUGUGCAUUCAUAUGCCUACAUGACUAGAUAGCUUGACCCCAACAAUGCCGUGGACACUCCAAAGGAAUGUCGUUGACAGGAUCAAAGAUCAAGGACCUAAUCAUUAGACAUCGAUGAUGCCUCAGGUCAAAGGACUACUUUG